RNAcentral lists this ribosomal RNA (639 nucleotides) under Priestia megaterium. RNAcentral describes it as "bacterial SSU rRNA". It matches the Rfam family "Bacterial small subunit ribosomal RNA", at positions 56 to 677 of the family's 1533-position model. The record is from RNAcentral. Lineage: Bacteria; Bacillati; Bacillota; Bacilli; Caryophanales; Bacillaceae.
UGCAGUCGAGCGAACUGAUUAGAAGCUUGCUUCUAUGACGUUAGCGGCGGACGGGUGAGUAACACGUGGGCAACCUGCCUGUAAGACUGGGAUAACUUCGGGAAACCGAAGCUAAUACCGGAUAGGAUCUUCUCCUUCAUGGGAGAUGAUUGAAAGAUGGUUUCGGCUAUCACUUACAGAUGGGCCCGCGGUGCAUUAGCUAGUUGGUGAGGUAACGGCUCACCAAGGCAACGAUGCAUAGCCGACCUGAGAGGGUGAUCGGCCACACUGGGACUGAGACACGGCCCAGACUCCUACGGGAGGCAGCAGUAGGGAAUCUUCCGCAAUGGACGAAAGUCUGACGGAGCAACGCCGCGUGAGUGAUGAAGGCUUUCGGGUCGUAAAACUCUGUUGUUAGGGAAGAACAAGUACGAGAGUAACUGCUCGUACCUUGACGGUACCUAACCAGAAAGCCACGGCUAACUACGUGCCAGCAGCCGCGGUAAUACGUAGGUGGCAAGCGUUAUCCGGAAUUAUUGGGCGUAAAGCGCGCGCAGGCGGUUUCUUAAGUCUGAUGUGAAAGCCCACGGCUCAACCGUGGAGGGUCAUUGGAAACUGGGGAACUUGAGUGCAGAAGAGAAAAGCGGAAUUCCACGUGUA